GACGGAGGAGGCAAGCGUUAUCCGGAAUUAUUGGGCGUAAAGCGCACGUAGGCGGCUUCUUAAGUCGGUGGUGAAAUCCUGGAGCUCAACUCCAGAACUGCCUUCGAUACUGGGAAGCUCGAGUCCGGGAGAGGUGAGUGGAACUCCGAGUGUAGAGGUGAAAUUCGUAGAUAUUCGCAAGAACACCAGUGGCGAAGGCGGCUCACUGGCCCGAUACUGACGCUGAGGCACGAAAGCGUGGGGAGCAAACAGG
RNAcentral lists this ribosomal RNA (253 nucleotides) under uncultured bacterium. RNAcentral describes it as "partial 16S ribosomal RNA". It matches the Rfam family "Bacterial small subunit ribosomal RNA", at positions 524 to 776 of the family's 1533-position model. The record is from RNAcentral.